Molecule: ribosomal RNA, 307 nt
Filed under: uncultured bacterium
Lineage: Bacteria
Description: partial 16S ribosomal RNA
Rfam family: Bacterial small subunit ribosomal RNA
Source: RNAcentral
AGACAGCAGUAGCCGCGGUAAUACGUAGGUCCCGAGCGUUGUCCGGAUUUAUUGGGCGUAAAGGGAGCGCAGGCGGUUUAGUAAGUCUGAAGUUAAAGGCAUUGGCUCAACCAAUGUAUGCUUUGGAAACUGUUUAACUUGAGUGCAAGAGGGGAGAGUGGAAUUCCAUGUGUAGCGGUGAAAUGUGUAGAUAUAUGGAGGAACACCGGUGGCGAAAGCGGCUCUCUGGCUUGUAACUGACGCUGAGGCUCGAAAGCGUGGGGCGCAAACAGGAUCAGAUACCCCCGUAGUCCCUGUCUCUUAUACA